This 407-nucleotide ribosomal RNA is filed under the name Cryptocercus kyebangi. Its description in RNAcentral is "partial mitochondrial 16S rRNA gene". The record is from RNAcentral. Lineage: Eukaryota; Metazoa; Arthropoda; Insecta; Blattodea; Cryptocercidae.
UUACGCUGUUAUCCCUAAGGUAAUUUAGUCUUAUAAUCAACAAAAAUGGAUCAAAUAUAUAUAAAUAUAUAUAAAAAAAUAAAAAGAGUUAAUUAAAUCUUUCCAUCACCCCAACAAAAUAAAUUUUCAAAUUAAAAAAAUAUCAUACAAAAAAAUAAAAAUAUAUAUAAACUCUAUAGGGUCUUCUCGUCCCAAAAAAAUAUUUAGGCAUUUUAACCUAAAAUUUAAAUUCAAUAAAUAAAUUAAAGACAGUUUACACCUCGUCAAACCAUUCAUUCCAGCCUACAAUUAAAAGACUAAUGAUUAUGCUACCUUUGCACGGUCAAAAUACCGCGGCCCUUCAAUAUUCAGUGGGCAGGCCAUACAUCAAAAUAUAUUCAAGAAGAGAUGUUUUUGAUAAACAGGCG